This 720-nucleotide ribosomal RNA is filed under the name uncultured bacterium. Its description in RNAcentral is "bacterial SSU rRNA". It matches the Rfam family "Bacterial small subunit ribosomal RNA", at positions 776 to 1496 of the family's 1533-position model. The record is from RNAcentral.
GAUUAGAUACCCUGGUAGUCCACGCCGUAAACGAUGUCGACUUGGAGGUUGUUCCCUUGAGGAGUGGCUUCCGGAGCUAACGCGUUAAGUCGACCGCCUGGGGAGUACGGCCGCAAGGUUAAAACUCAAAUGAAUUGACGGGGGCCCGCGCAAGCGGUGGAGCAUGUGGUUUAAUUCGAUGCAACGCGAAGAACCUUACCUACUCUUGACAUCCACGGAAUUCGGCAGAGAUGCCUUAGUGCCUUCGGGAACCGUGAGACAGGUGCUGCAUGGCUGUCGUCAGCUCGUGUUGUGAAAUGUUGGGUUAAGUCCCGCAACGAGCGCAACCCUUAUCCUUUGUUGCCAGCGAUUCGGUCGGGAACUCAAAGGAGACUGCCGGUGAUAAACCGGAGGAAGGUGGGGAUGACGUCAAGUCAUCAUGGCCCUUACGAGUAGGGCUACACACGUGCUACAAUGGCGCAUACAAAGAGAAGCGACCUCGCGAGAGCAAGCGGACCUCAUAAAGUGCGUCGUAGUCCGGAUCGGAGUCUGCAACUCGACUCCGUGAAGUCGGAAUCGCUAGUAAUCGUGGAUCAGAAUGCCACGGUGAAUACGUUCCCGGGCCUUGUACACACCGCCCGUCACACCAUGGGAGUGGGUUGCAAAAGAAGUAGGUAGCUUAACCUUCGGGAGGGCGCUUACCACUUUGUGAUUCAUGACUGGGGUGAAGUCGUAACAAGG